Long non-coding RNA from Astatotilapia calliptera (eastern happy), 1388 nucleotides. The record is from Ensembl. NCBI's taxonomy places the organism in Eukaryota, Metazoa, Chordata, Actinopteri, Cichliformes, Cichlidae.
CAGGGAUAUUGCUCAGGGUAUCAGUCAUACACCGCAUAAAAUAACUUUAGGUAAAUUUAAUAGCUUUAAAGAGCAUCUGUAUAUUCUUUAUUAUUGCUUUUUAAUCCAGGAAACUAUCAACAAUGAAGCUGUGGGAGAUAAGAAAGGAAAUGCUGUUAAAAACAGCUUUAACCGUGUUUGUCCUCUCAUGUUUCCUGGGACGUCUGGACUGUGAAGAGCUAACAGUCAAACAAGCAAAGGAUGUAACUCUGGAGUGCUAUGGCCCCAGUCGAGUGGAGCUGAAAGAUCCAGAGAUAAAGAAUGGAAACUUUUCUAUGAUUCUCAAAAAUGUCACCAUGAACGACGCUGGAAUAUAUGAAUGUUAUGCUGGAUACAACAGACAGAGACCUCAGCUUUUGAAGAGCAUCAACCUGAAGGUAAAAGAAGAAGGUCAGACAGUACUCGAUAAGGACAAAGACCAGAGGAGUGGAGCUGAUGGCGUAGAAGUUGACAUGUCGAUUUCCGUUGUGCUUGCUGCUGCUGUUUUGUUGUUUUAGCCGUCUGUUGAACUGCAGCCAGUUUGAAAGGCCACAGAUGGAAAUAUCACAGUGUAUAUUCACUCCACCCACCCACUCAGCAUUCACAGUGACAGAUGUGCUGAGGACAGACAGAAGUUAACGAUGCACAAUUAAACUGGAAUUUAGCACCUGGAGGAAACAUUAAGUUAUGUUCGUGUUUGUGAUUAUCUGAAGUUUCCUGCUCAACAUACAUGUUUGUUUACAUUGUUAUCUGCUGCCUUUUUUAGUCACCAUCAAAUAUCACUGAGCUAUUAUGAAUUCUGAAUUUUACAUUUUGAUAUUUUUGUCCUACAUAUUUUUCAUUUUACAUUUUAUUUUGAUAUUUUACAUGUUUUUUGCAUUUUUAAAGGCUUAAAAUACUGUUGAGAAGGAAGGUUACAUUAUAUGUAAAGAGGGCCAAAUAUAAGCCCUGACGGCCAUCACUAGUCCACUGGAUGACUUUGAAAAAUAUAAAAUGUGAAUUAAAAAAGAAAAAGUAAGAUGUUGGACUAUUUACUGUAUUUUGUCAUUAACAGUGGAUAACAUCAUGAGAAUCGAUCAUAGAUUAUUUUUUUUUAAACUAUUAGUAUAAAGAACAAAGUUUUUAUAACAAAUUCUCAGGAUUGAUGAAUCUGUAACAUCAGCAAAAUGUUUUACACUUGGUCAUGUGCAAUAAAGGACAUGUGAAUGAAUCCAGUGCAUGUACGAGCAGAUUAACACCAGCCUGGCUUGCAACAAACACUCUGAGAGAUAUCGUUGUAUUAUUGUUAGAUAUGCUGUUUCUACUACUUUACUUUCAAACCAUCUGUCCUCUCUGUCCAAAACGUGAACAUCGGCAUCCUUGAAAGUGUG